This 62-nucleotide transfer RNA is filed under the name Brachionus rubens. RNAcentral describes it as "tRNA-Tyr". It matches the Rfam family "tRNA". From Rfam's summary of the family: Transfer RNA (tRNA) molecules are approximately 80 nucleotides in length. Their secondary structure includes four short double-helical elements and three loops (D, anti-codon, and T loops). Lineage: Eukaryota; Metazoa; Rotifera; Eurotatoria; Ploima; Brachionidae. The record is from RNAcentral.
GAUUAUUUAGUAUAAAUUAUUACAUUAGACUGUAAAUCUAAUAAUGACCUUGUCAAUAAUCA